UUUAAUUGCAUUGCCAAAUCGUAGGGACACUUUCUAUAAACAAAGCAAUGAAUUGGUAAAUCCCAGCACUUGUACAAGUAUUACAUUUCAUCUCCACAUUAUAAUAACUCUGGCUAUUCAUCUUAUUCUAUUUGUUAGAACAAAAAUUCAUGUGAGUCUGAAAACAAUGACAAUGAUGACUUAUUCCUGUCCAAUGAAAAGCAUUGUCAAGAAGAUCCUAUUUACAAGGAAGUAUCAUAUCAAGGAGCAGAACCAUCAUCCCCACAAUGCUCUACUAAUCAAUCUACUCAACAGAAGGUAUGUUGUUUCAGUCAUGGAAAGCAAGUUACAAUCUGUAUCAUAUAAUAUUUUCACUUCCUUUUAGCUUGAUGCCCUUAAAAGGAAUCCAACUGAUGGUAGAAUAAUAAAGAAAAUGAAGCUGACUAAGAAUCAACAAGGAGUGCUCCGAGAUACUACAGCCAUGACACGACGAGUGCUCACACCAGAUAAGGGUGCAGGCUAUAAGGUGGACAAGCA
Molecule: long non-coding RNA, 516 nt
Organism: Panicum virgatum (switchgrass)
Lineage: Eukaryota; Viridiplantae; Streptophyta; Magnoliopsida; Poales; Poaceae
Exons: 3
Source: RefSeq, a predicted model, not a curated record